This is a long non-coding RNA of Bubalus bubalis (water buffalo), 9531 nucleotides long. RefSeq lists it as uncharacterized. NCBI's taxonomy places the organism in Eukaryota, Metazoa, Chordata, Mammalia, Artiodactyla, Bovidae. The record is from RefSeq and is a predicted model, not a curated record. The transcript is spliced from 10 exons.
AAAAGAUGAUGCUGUGAAAGUGCUGCACUCAAUAUGCCAGCAAAUAUGGAAAACUCAGCAGUGUCCACAGGACUGGAAAAGGUCAGUUGUUACUAACUUUCAAAAAAACCUCAGUUGAAGUUGAGAAAUCACCAGGAAGCCAGGCUGCUGCUGACCUUAGCUGCCUGCAGUACUGAAAGGGGGGUUCUUGGGAGGAUGCUCAGGAGCCCACACCUAUCUCCAUGCCCAACGCCCACACACCUGGUAGUAGCUACUUACUGAUAGAGAAGAAUGGUCUUUACUUCUCCCUUCAGGUGAUUGAAUCUCUCAAUGGCAGGUUCUACCAAGUACCAUACUGGCAAGGGAGGCUGAGAAAUGUAGUUUCCAAGCUGUCAGCACUUGUGGUUCAGAGGGACACUUAGAAGGACAAAGAUGGUACUUACAGAGUCCCGACAAGAAAUUUCUAGUACACGUGCUCCUUGUUUUUCCCAGAGGAAAUUCAGGUGGUCACUCUUCUCUCUUGAAAACUCCUUAAGGUUAGAUCUUAAUCAAUUCUCUAUCCCCAGGGCUAGACUGAACCAGACAAUAAAUUGUUCUGAGUUGAUGUGAAUGGAAUGACAACAGGAUGAAUAGCCAAGAAGAAAGUUGUCCCCCUUUUAAGCUGGAUUUCAAGGUCUCCUGUUCCUAGAAUCUGAUGAUUCUCCCUAAUGACUGCCUUAGAUUCUGCCCCCGCUUAAGUCAUUUUCCUUCCUAACCUGCUCAGAGUGAUCAUGAGAGAUGUUUGCUCAAGUGACUGGAAGCUUGAGUUCUAGGUCCUGUCUGCACAGUGAAGAGAAGGAUUUGAAAAUAGUCUGUUUUAUUGGAUCCAUGGAGAUUGUCAAUUACAUAUUUUUUUGCUUUAAACUGCAUUAUCAAGUUGGUUGUGUAAAGUUAGUCAAGGUAUUUCUAUAUUUUAUUCAUCUGGUUCUAAACAGAAUCUUCAUGUCCUACCAGAGUUGGGGUCUCUUUGGAAAUGUGGAGUUUAUGAUUCACCUUGGGAUAGAAUUUGGAGUAUUCAAAAUGAAAAAGGAAUGGGGUGGGUUUGGGUGUUUGGAAAGCCUGUUCAGCUGUAAGAAAAGGAUAUUCAGUAAAGAGGGGACCUGGUGUGAUUUCCUCUGAAAAGGCACAGAGUUAAAACUCUAUGAAAGAUUAAAGACAUCCUCUUGAAAUUUAUUUUUCUCAGUGAAAAAUGGGUAAGACUAUUGUGCCUAUGGUAAAAAUAAUGGCAGGGUGACUCAGACUUAUUUACAACCAUCAAAGAAAUGAAAGAUAUGGAUCAUGUCACUAAUUAAUCUUUUUAUCAUUAUCAAGUGGUGACUGUAUCCAGCUAAAGAGUGCUGUGUGCAUAAUAGCACAAUUAUGGGGGAUGUGAUGAUGUAACAGCCGCUAGUGCCCAGCAUUUAGCCUCUCUUUUCCAUUCCCACCCACCCUGGUUUCUGGCUAUAUUUAGUUGUUUUACACAGUGUACCUGGACCAAAGUCUGUUUUACAAAAUUAAAAGAGUAGAGAGAAGAGUCAGAGUCUUCAUAGAAAAAUCAGGCUUCAUGAUGUUUAUUUCCCUUGAUUACCCAUGUUCCUUCUUGGUUAAUGUAUUUUCUCCUAUGUUGCACCUAGAAUCAUGACUGAAAUACAAUCAUGAGUUUACUUUGUGUAAAGGGAAGUAGGGCAUUGAGCAAUCACCUAAUGAAUACAGUCAAGAUGGUUAGUGAAUCUGGAAAAUUCCACUCUCAAAAAAAUUACUUUCUCUACUCCAUAGCAGAUUUCCUCUUGGCCUUAAUUAUCCACAGAGUUGUCCAAUUUUCUGAUAGUCUUUACUGUUGUUGACAUCACCUUAAUAAUUUAUUUAAUGGAUUUCACUGGGUUCAUUUGGGAGCCCUUUCUUCUUAGUGGCUUCUUUUAUCAAUUAAUUUAUGUAUUCAAUAAACAUUGAACACUGUUCCAGUUAUCUAUUGCUGUGUAAUAAGCUACCCUAAAACCUAGUGACUUAGUGCAAUAAUUUUUUAUUACCACAUGUAGUUCUUCAUGUUGAUGGGCUCAGCCGGGCAGUUCUUUCUUGAGUCCCUCAUACAGUUGUGGUCAGAUGGUAGCAGAGGCCAGAGCCACCUUCACUCUGCUCCUGUCACUGGGCUCGUCAGGCCUCUCUCUCUUCCCCCACAUGAUUAGUUUGGGCAUUCUCAGAGCUUGUUGAUCUUUUGGUAAUCAACCUGCUUCCCUUGUGACCAACUUUGUCCAACACGUGUAUUCUGAAAAACUUCAUGUGGAAGUUUCAAAUCCUCUUUGACCUAGCCCUAGAAGUCAUCUUCUCUCCUCUGUUUUUGUCAAAGCGGUCACCAGACUUGACAAUCUACUUCUUGGACUCCAAGAGUUGGAGAUGGAGAUUCCACCUCACAAUGGUGGAAUGUCUUGAACCUUCAAAGAUGACCACCUAAGAUGACAGUGGUCACCUCAAUACCAAGUUACCUCUGACACCUGCUACAUGACAAGCCUUAUGGUUAAAAUCAAGUAAAUUAUUUUAUAAUUACAUGCCGAAUUGGAUCAUACAUAUUAUAAUGGAUUAUUCAGAUUUUUAAAGCAUCUUAACUUCUCAAAGAUGAAAAUAGUCUAUAUUAUUGCUCAUCUUUUCCUCUGAGAAAGUUCUUUUCAUAGAUUCAUAACAAACGGUCCCAUGGGAACAGAAAGUUUUGAGGGUGUUUACUGUUUGUGCAAGAUGACUGGUUGGGUAAAGAAGUUCAAAGUUUAUUAUCUGCAGAACAAAUAAAGCCUGGGCAAAGGUUAUAUUUGGGAUCAGUUGGAUGUCCCAUUGGACUGUCUUACAAGCAAUUAUAAACAUGGAACAAGGAAGUGAAGAGAGACUUCUUGUUGACAACUAAAGACAACCCCUUCUCUUGUUGACAUCAGCCUCUUUGGGUGAGUUUAGAUGCCGCUGAUUUGUGAUUGCAACAUCAUGAAAGGGAAGGAGUUUGGGUUCCUGAAUAUCCACUUGGAAGAGAGCCUCCAAAGAGAGCUGCCAGACUUUCACUGGACAGUGACACGAGGGAGAAAUAAACUUAGUGGUGUGAGACCAUGGAGAUUGUCAUUAUAGCAACUGGCUACCUGCAUAGGUCCUGCACAUAGAGCCUACCUAGCGGUCCUACAUCAGACUGAUGGAGAAGAUGCUGCCCUGCUCAGGUGUUCUGGACAUUGAUAUGGUGGUGGUGGCUGGAUGGGACUUUGCAUUGUCCUCUGUGGGGUAAGCUGCAAGCAAAGGACUCUAAGAUGAAACUGUCACACGUGCACGAUGACAGCAGACAUUUCUGACAAUGGGUGUGAAUAUUGUUCUCAAAGUGAGGUCAUGCAUCUGUCUCUGGAGAAUUCUCUUAAUGAAUAAGUAGAAAUUUGAGGCACCGAAGGCAAAAAGAGUUGAACAGCCACCUUCCAUUGUAUCUUGGGAAAGUCAACUGAACUUCCCUGGAGUAAGAUUACCAGCAAGUAAAAAACUUUAUGUGGAAGUUCUAUAAGGAGAAGUCACUGGAAGGCGUUUUCAAGAGGAAUUAACGACCUGUGAAAUGUCACCGACAGCAACCAUGACUGCAUGAGAGCAGCGGGAAGAGAAGACAAAACCAGUGGCUCCGAAUCUCCCACCCAUCCCUGCGUGGCCUCAGUGUUGCUAAGUAGAGCAGAUCCUGCAUCUCUAAGAAUGCCACCUUAACUUCAUUCUCUUUUGUCACAUAAGUAAGGUGCAGUAUGCUUAAGGAGUUUGGGUUCUCCUUACCUCUUCUUUUCCUGACCAAAAAAAAAAAAAAAAAAAAAUACAGUAAGUCCCCUGCAUACAAAUCUUCAAGUUGUGAGCUUUCAAGGGCGAGAACAUGCACUCAUCAAUGUCAGGCAUGAGUGAAAUUGCAGCUUGCCCUCCGUCUCCCAUUGCUGAUUCUCCUUCAGCUCUACCGUCUCCCACCUCCUCUCUUCCAGUCAGUAACUCUUCUUGCCCCAUAUGCCAGCUGUUGUACUGUACUACUAUAACUUUUCAAGGUACUGUACUGUAAGGUUAAAAGUUUCCUUUAAUUUUUGUGUUUGUUUUUUAUGUAUUAUUCAUGUGAAAAAUAUUAUAAACCUAUUUCAGUACAGUCCUAUAUAGCUGAUUGCAUUAGUUGGGUACCUACGCUAAAUUUGUUGGACUUAUGAACAAAUUAGGCUUAUGAAUGAGCUCUUGGAAUGGAAUUCACUAUGUAGGGGAUUUAUUACAGAGCAAAUUCCACUACCUGCCCUUCAGUGGUACCUACUGUUUCCACUAACCAGAUGAACGCGAUUCAGCCACAUCUCCCAACGUUCCCCUACGUGAAAUCCCUGUGCUGGUAUCAUGGGGACAGCUAUGGAGCUGCACGGGCACACUCUCUCAGAGCCUGCAGUCUAAACACAGUGUGAGAAGUACUACUGAAGAGGUCCAAACUGUCAGGAAAGCAAGAGGUGAGACGCUCAGGGAGGUAAAAAGGAGUCCUGGACAUUUAGCGUGGAAUGCUCACCACUGUCUCUCAGAACAAUUUCUGGGAUGUCCUGCUUGUAGUCACCACGUCUUAGCUCCUCAGAGACAUUUACUGGGUAGUUGCUGAAAAGCAAUAACUAUAGGGCAAAUUUUUGUUGCCAUUUUCCCAAACCCAAAGUCUUUUUGAAGUUUUCCUUGAUACCAGGUUGGGACAAAAGGGUGGUUAUGUUUCUGUGUCCUGGGUCUCUCCUGAGAGUGCCUUGACCCACAUAAGACACGAGUGUGAAGUGAAGGAGAAGAGGGGUCUGGUCUUUAUGGAGUUGCUGGGUUCCAGUCCUCCUCUUAGGAGCUGGGAGUAGCUGUGUUCAUCUGCUUUCUGUUUCCCAGCUGACCCUUCCCCGCUCUUGGAUGCAGCAGAGGGCAGAGUCUGAGCUUGGGCCCCCUGCGGGGUUAUUGCCCGUGGAAAUGAUGUAAGAAAUCAUUCUGCUUUUUUUUCCCCACACAUCCAGGCUCUGAUGAUUGGGCAGAAAUAGAGUCGUCCAAAGGCCAAAUCAAAUGGAUGGAGCCAACGUGAGGAGUUAAGGUAGCAGAAUCUAUAUCCCAUGUUUUGAGGGAUUAUUUGCUUUAGCUAUUGAAUGAGGAUCUCGAAGUCAGGCCUUACUUCUGUGAUUAACAAAACCUUUGAGGAUAAUGAGGGGAAUCUGGAAAUGGAUUUAAGUUUCUCAAAGAAAAAGAGCUACUUUAUAAAUCCAAGGCAGUUACAUACAACCUCCUGGGUUCAAAAUUCCAGUGGGCUUACAUUGGCCAGAUUUAUGUGUGCCCGUGCCCAAUAAUGUUCCCCCUUGCCCUUUUAGGCUUCCAGAUCAUUAGGCUGAGAGAAGUAAGGACUUCCCUUGAGGAAAUACAGAGCUGUUAUUCCACUAUUCCCUCCACCCCACCGUUGACUCGGGGAAUCUCUGAGAAUCUCUGGAAGGGACUUCAAAAGUCACGUAGUCCAGCUGCCAGUAUAUUCCCUUGCUAAGCAGGCAAGUGGGAAUAGAAAGGAAAAGUGCAGUUAAUUCUCAAGCAUUUGGACGUAGAUUGUCCACAGACAGACAGUGAGAGAUUUGUGUGUUUGGAGACAGUGCUUGGGGUCUCUUUGUAUCUGUUCCUUCUCCAAGCUAAACAAUCACAGAUCAUUUCACUGGUCCUUAGAGGACUGCUUUCAAACUUCUGAAAUCGCAUAAAUUGAAGCCAUUUUCAUCUAACUAGGUUGAUGCUGCCUUCAUUUCCAUUCCAGAAACUUUUGGCUAUUCCCCAUUCAGAAGGGACUGACUGCAUUUGAAAUAGGAUGACAGAGGAAUUACUCUCACUGAGAUUACCCUUCAGCUACAUCCCAGAACUGAGAGACUCUGCUAACUGCUACUGCCAUAAUGACUAGCAAUCACGGCACAAUCACGGAAAUGAAUUAAAUUAUUAAUUUCAAUAGCACCCCAUGGUGCAUUUAUAAAUUCCACCAUCUGGGGAACAUAAAUAUGGAGGUCCACAUUCUAAACUUGGAGGCAUGGUGCUUAGUGCCAAGGGCUGUAUCUUUGAAGGCAGUAAAGAUUUUUCAAGAUACUAUAUGUAGAGCAGCAAGCUGUGCAUUUGAGAGAAGGAUCUGUCCCUGGGUCUCUAUUAGCUUUACUAUUUAUUUAAGGAUCUCUUCUCCUUUAUUUUUUAACCAGUUCAUAUCGAUAGAUGCAAUAUAUAAAAAUCUUGGUUUAGGAAAAGUACACGAUGGGAAAUAAAGUCAAACUCUUAUUUGAACUAUUUAUUUAUUCUCUCCCUUUUCUCUUUAUCCCAUUUCUUCCUCCCAGAGUCUCGUCUCGUACUGACUUGCUUCACUUAUGUAAAUCUCUGGUUAAUAAGUUCUUUCUACCUAGAUAGCUAUUCUUGGGUUUUGAAUGGGUUCAAAAAUCUCUCUAAAACUUUAAGAGCAUUGUUCCUGAAGCAGAGAGGAUAGAGGUCCUGGAGGAGUGUGUAACCUACUCGAAUCAAAGAGAUUUAACUUUCUUUCCUUACGUGGAACCAUUUGGCCAGAUGUUGGGGUUCCCUGAGCCUUCUCUGUUUGCCAUCUGUCUUGUCCCCAAGGGCUGGUGAGAGAGGGACACUUCUAAAGACCAUAUGUAAAUGACUUCCAUGGAGCCCUACGGGGGCUCCCUAGGCUACCUUCUUCCCUCUAUGGAUCACCAAUGCAAAGCCAAGCAACAGCCCAGGCCCCUGCCAUCGUGUUCUACAAUGUCCUAAUAUCCAAAACAGCUAGAUUUCUAGCCAAUGAGUUCCCUUAAGACCCACAGGAAAAAUACAUAGCUUCCUGCAGGAUAAAUGCUUCUAAAGCAUCAGGGUGUUGUGUAGCUCUUGACUUCCUUGUUCUCUGUAUCCAGGGCUUUAAUGCAAUUUGUGUGUUGACUAGCUGAUGAUGAAGAUGACUGUUGAGUACUCCUUCUAGAACUUCUACGUAUGCACAGCUAAUCAUACAGAGCUUAGUCAGCUCUGCAGGCCAGUAUGAUUUCUAAUUGAGACUGAGGGAAAACUCCAAAGGUCGCCUCGUCCCCUUUGCUGCCACCAACAAUUGAUGAUGCUCACUGGCCAUUCAAUGAACCAACUUUCAUAUAUAAGGUUAAAUGAACAUAUUGUGGGAGGGGCUAUUUUUAGCAACUGUGUUUUAGGUUGAUUCCUUUCAAUUCUCUGUAGAGCCAAACAUCAGGGUAACUUGAGAUCUGGUGAUCUAUAACUUUGGGAAGAGGUGGAUUGUACCUAAAUAGAAUUUCACUUCUUCAUUGUUUUAGAUGUCAUUCUCAUAACUUAGUCAAAUCAGCUUAUCAUUAGCCAUUUGACAACAAGAGAAUUAACUGAACCUGCAAUCGUGAUAGAUUAAAUGAAACUUCUGAUCUUCAUGGCAAAGUCCUUGCCAAUAGCUUCUGUUUCUGUCCCUGGAUGGUAAACAUAAGCGUUCAUCAAAUUUGAGGAGCUGAACCUCUAGGGACUCCCAUGUCCUGCAUUUAUUAAUGACAAUGAAGGACCCAAAAUCAGUGAUUUAUGCAAUUUAGCCACGGCUAUCCCCAACCUCUGUGGGAGUUAGUAGACUGGAAUAAUUACAGACUAAAUAGUGAUGAUAAGGAGGAAAUGUACUGUAGUUGGAGUUAGUGGGCUGAGAAAACAAAUGUUUCCGGUCUCAGGAGAAUCUGCUUGCUGUUAUAAAGGAGAAAAGUAGAAGCAAAGAGACCUUGUCCUGAUCUGUACGAUUUCAGUAGCUGGGAAAGGCCACAUAAAGUUAUCAUAAAAAGCAAGAGGUGAUAAACACAAAAGACCCUUUAGCAUCCUGCCCCCUGCUCAGCCUGCCUCCCAGCAGCGGGAAGACACACAGUCGGCACACUGGGUUUGAGAUGAAAAUCUGGAAUAGUCACUGUUUUGCCCCCAGAGCCAAUGCUGGUAAGACUGGAGGAACCAGUGUAACUUUGCCUGUAUUUGCUUCUGACUCAAACACCAGAGAAAACUCACACAAAGACGUGAGAAACUUCCUAUUCUGAGUUGAGGAGUUCCGUGUGAGCCUGUCACAGCAUUCGUUCUGGGAAAUCACAAGGCUUCUUUUCUCUUUGGGUAUCAGAAUAGCUCACCGUAAGCCACCAGCCGCUCUAUACUGACUGAAUCCCUCUGAGGCCCAGGUCAAGUGGCCUGCCCAAGGCCAUGACGGAGGAUCCAGGUAGACCACAAGCUCAGCAAGCAUGGCUUCCUGCCAGAAACAAUGCCUCUCCCCUACAGUCUCCUUGAGUCUCACUCCCUGGAUAGACGUGCUGUCUGACACUGCCCUGCAGUGAACAAAGGGAACAAAGGGAAAGAAAAAAAAAAAACCCAGCAUUUCUUUCUAAGAUGAAAGCAUAUGGUACCAUCAAGGGGGCUGGGUGGGAAGAAGGAUGCCUGGGAAGAUUCAAUAGUAUGUUAGUUAUACCUCAAGGGCAAAUAGUAUGAGAGAAGAAGAUGUUUUCUCAUUUGUUGGGCACAAUAGCCCUUCACCCCAGCAAGGGAGAGUGCCCGCCUGAGUGAGGACCGGCUCUAAACUAACUCAGCACUUGUGUUCAAGUAUCUUCACUUAGCCAGGUGACGCUCUUCCAGGUGAAUUUUUCCUUAUAGUAAGAUCUGAUGGCCAAUUUAACUGGCCAUGGAAAAGAGAAACAGUACAGUUCUAUAGAGAAUUAUGUAAGGAAAUCUAAAUAAAAUCCAGAAAAUUCACACAUUGAUCCAUUCAUGCAUAAGUCAGCAGCAUCAAAACAAGACUCAUCUGGCUUCCCAUACCCUCCCUUCUUCCAUUCAGAUGCUUGUCGAGUUUUUCAUGAGGGUAACCUAAUGAGGGGAGAAGGGGAUGGCACCCCACUCCAGUACUUUUGCCUAGAAAAUCCCACAGAUGGAGGAGCCUGGUAGGCUGCAGUCCAUGGGGUCGCGAAGAGUCGGACAUGACUGAGCAACUUAGCAGCAGCAGCAGCAACCAAAUGAGGAGAUGUGGAAAAGGCUGCUUUUUGCUGGAGGUUCUCUCUGGCUGCCACAGACCCCAUCCAGCUGCCCUCAGGCUCAGGCAGCAAGAUCCCCUCCCUGCACACCUAUAUAACCCAUUCAUGAACCUGUGAGGAAGACCUGAUCUUCUUUUCCCAAGUAUGCUCGUCGGGAGGCUCUCAGAAAGGAGAGGGACCCAGGUGUACUCAUACUUCUGAAUAUCUGACUGCAAGCCUGUCUCUAAUGUUCCUUUAGGGCUGUUUUCAAAGCUCCCAAGAAAUUAAUCACAAGAGGCUUCUACUCUAGAGUAUGCAGUUACAUGUGAAUUCCUCGGGGACUUGCCUGACAUUAUUGGCUAUUACUGGGUAUCACUGGACGUUGCUGGGAAUCACUGGAUAACCUAUGUGAUUAUCAGGUGACUCUCUGGUCCAAAGCCGGGGACCCCUCCCUCUCUCUGGGAACCAUGACUGCUGCUGCUGCUGCUGCUGCUAAGUCGCUCCAGUAGUGUCCGACUCUGUGCGACCCCAUAGACGGCAGCCCACCAGG